This 77-nucleotide transfer RNA is filed under the name SAR202 cluster bacterium AD-804-J14_MRT_500m. RNAcentral's name for it is "tRNA-Val". It matches the Rfam family "tRNA". Rfam says of the family: Transfer RNA (tRNA) molecules are approximately 80 nucleotides in length. Lineage: Bacteria; Bacillati; Chloroflexota; Dehalococcoidia. The record is from RNAcentral.
GGGCGGUUAGCUCAGAUGGUUAGAGCACUGCGUUGACAUCGCAGAGGUCACUGGUUCGAGUCCAGUAUCGCCCACCA